AGAAGAAAGGAAAAGAAGAAAAGAAAAGAAGAAGAAGAAGAAGAAGAAGAAGAAGACAAGAAUUACAUGAUUACAAGAACUGGCCACAAGAAUUAAUUUACUGAGGUCCAAAAAACUGAGAGAUGUCCUAGAAAAAUACAAAAAAAAACAAGAAAAAUCUAGUUUGAGUGUCCUAGCUAGCUCAGAAACAUGUAUACAAGUCUGCUAAAUGAAUAAUGACACUAGAAAAGCCUCAAAAUAAUGAUAGACAAAUACAAGACUAAAUGUCCGAGCUAAAUAAUAAUAAUAAUAAUAAUAAUAAUAAUAAUAAUAAUAAUAAUAAUAAUAAUAAUAAUAAUAAUAAUAAAACAGACAGCUAAUUGAACAUACAUACAUACAUACAUUCUUAAGACGAGAGAGAGAGAGAGAGAGAGAGAGAGAGAGAGAGAGAGAGAGAGAGAGAGAGAGAGAGAGAGAGAGAGAGAGAGAGAGAGAGAGAGAGAGAGAGAGAGAGAGAGAGAGAGAGAGGAGGAGGAGGAGGAGAUAGACAACAUGAGAGAGGAGGAGAAGACAAGAUAAGGAGGAGAGGAGAGAGAAUGGAGGAAGAGGAGAGGAGAGAGAAUGGAGGAAGAGGUGGAGGAGAGGAGAGGAGAGAGAAUGGAGGAAGAGGUGGAGGAGAGGAGAGGAGAGAGAAUGGAGGAAGAGGUGGAGGAGAGGAGAGGAGAGAGAAUGGAGGAAGAGGUGGAGGAGAGGAGAGGAGAGAGAAUGGAGGAAGAGGUGGAGGAGAGGAGAGGAGAGAGAAUGGAGGAAGAGGUGGAGGAGAGGAGAGGAGAGAGAAUGGAGGAAGAGGUGGAGGAGAGAGGAGAGAGAAUGGAGGAAGAGGUGGAGGAGAGGAGAGGAGAGAGAAUGGAGGAAGAGGUGGAGGAGAGGAGAGGAGAGAGAAUGGAGGAAGAGGUGGAGAGGAGAGAGAAUGGAGGAAGAGGAGGAGGAGGAAGACAAAAUAAGAGGGAGAACAAGAGGACAAGAAGAGAGAAAGACAGGAGGAGGAGGGAGACAGAUGAAAAGGAGGAAUAAGAAGAGGAGAGAAAGAAGAUGGAGAAGAGGAACAAGGUAAGAUGAAGAAGAAGAAGAAGAAGAAGAAGAAAAAGAAGAAGAAGAGGAGGAGGAGGAGGACACACACACACACACACACACACACACAUAUAUACUGCAAAAACUACAAUUAACUAAUAUAAACUAACUAAAAUACAUAGAUUCUUCACAAAUAUACUUAGAAAAUACUUAAACUGGCAUUACUCAAUUGAAUUACAAACCUGACUUGAUAAAGACUUACUCAGACAAGCAAGUCACACAAGAAAAUACACAAUACACAAACAUACAUAGAGAAUCUUAAUUAAAAUGUCAAAAUUACAACAAUAGAAUUUUAAAACGCAGUAUGAUUUGAUUGUAGGGACGUGUGUGUGUGUGUGUGUGUGUGUGUGUGUGUGUGUGUGUGUGUGUGUGUGUGUGUGUGUGUGUGUGUGUGUGUGUGUGUGUGUGUGUGUGUGUGUGUGUGUGUGUGUGUGUGUGUGUGUGUG
Long non-coding RNA from Scylla paramamosain (green mud crab), 1556 nucleotides. RefSeq lists it as uncharacterized. The record is from RefSeq and is a predicted model, not a curated record. The transcript is spliced from 2 exons. NCBI's taxonomy places the organism in Eukaryota, Metazoa, Arthropoda, Malacostraca, Decapoda, Portunidae.